CCUACGGGAGGCAGCAGUGAGGAGUCUUGCGCAAUGGGCGAAAGCCUGACGCAGCGACGCCGCGUGGGCGAUGAAGGCCUUCGGGUUGUAAAGCCCUUUUCUGGGGGACGAGGAAGGACGGUACCCCAGGAAUAAGUCACGGCUAACUACGUGCCAGCAGCCGCGGUAAAACGUAGGUGGCAAGCGUUAUCCGGAAUCACUGGGCGUAAAGGGUGUGUAGGUGGCUUUGCAAGUCAAAGGUAAAAUCCCAGAGCUUAACUCGGGAACUGCCUUUGAAACUGCAAAGCUUGAGGGCAGGAGAGGGAAGCGGAAUUCCCGGUGGAGCGGUAAAAUGCGUAGAUAUCGGGAGGAACACCGGAGGCGAAGGCGGCUCCCUGGACUGUCCCUGACACUGAAACACGAAAGCUAGGGGAGCAAACGGGAUUAGAUCCCCCUGUAGU
Molecule: ribosomal RNA, 440 nt
Filed under: uncultured bacterium
Lineage: Bacteria
Description: partial 16S ribosomal RNA
Rfam family: Bacterial small subunit ribosomal RNA
Source: RNAcentral